This 447-nucleotide ribosomal RNA is filed under the name uncultured Stichotrichia. Its description in RNAcentral is "partial Bacterial small subunit ribosomal RNA". It matches the Rfam family "Bacterial small subunit ribosomal RNA", at positions 934 to 1383 of the family's 1533-position model. The record is from RNAcentral. Lineage: Eukaryota; Ciliophora; Spirotrichea.
GGAGCAUGUGGUUUAAUUCGAUGAUACGCGAGGAACCUUACCAGGGCUUAAAUGUAGUCUGACAGCUUUAGAGAUAGAGUUUUCUUCGGACAGAUUACAAGGUGCUGCAUGGUUGUCGUCAGCUCGUGCCGUGAGGUGUCAGGUUAAGUCCUAUAACGAGCGCAACCCCUACCGUUAGUUGCCAGCGAUUCAAGUCGGGGACUCUAACGGGACUGCCGGUGCAAACCGUGAGGAAGGUGGGGACGACGUCAAAUCAUCACGGCCCUUACGUCCUGGGCCACACACGUGCUACAAUGGCCGGUACAGAGAGCAGCCACUGGGCAACCAGGAGCGAAUCUAUAAAACCGGUCACAGUUCGGAUCGGGGUCUGCAACUCGACCCCGUGAAGCUGGAAUCGCUAGUAAUCGGAUAUCAGCCAUGAUCCGGUGAAUACGUUCCCGGGCCUUG